Molecule: ribosomal RNA, 433 nt
Filed under: uncultured bacterium
Lineage: Bacteria
Description: partial 16S ribosomal RNA
Rfam family: Bacterial small subunit ribosomal RNA
Source: RNAcentral
AACGAACGCUGGCGGCAUGCCUAACACAUGCAAGUCGAACGAGACCUUCGGGUCUAGUGGCGCACGGGUGCGUAACGCGUGGGAACCUGCCCUUAGGUUCGGAAUAACUCCCCGAAAGGGGUGCUAAUACCGGAUAAUGUCUUCGACCCAAAGAUUUAUCGCCUUUGGAUGGGCCCGCGUUGGAUUAGCUCGUUGGUAGGGUAAAAGCCUACCAAGGCGACGAUCCAUAGCUGGUUUGAGAGGAUGAUCAGCCACACUGGGACUGAGACACGGCCCAGACUCCUACGGGAGGCAGCAGUGGGGAAUAUUGGACAAUGGGCGAAAGCCUGAUCCAGCAAUGCCGCGUGAGUGAUGAAGGCCUUAGGGUUGUAAAGCUCUUUUAACCGGGAUGAUAAUGACAGUACCGGGAGAAUAAGCUCCGGCUAACUCCGUG